Molecule: ribosomal RNA, 553 nt
Filed under: Rhodotorula kratochvilovae
Lineage: Eukaryota; Fungi; Basidiomycota; Microbotryomycetes; Sporidiobolales; Sporidiobolaceae
Description: eukaryotic LSU rRNA
Rfam family: Eukaryotic large subunit ribosomal RNA
Source: RNAcentral
GAGCGCAGCGGGAAGAGCUCAAAUUUAUAAUCUGGCACCUUCGGUGUCCGAGUUGUAAUCUCUAGAAGUGUUUUCCGCGUUGGAUAGCACACAAGUCUGUUGGAAUACAGCGGCACAGUGGUGAUACCCCCGUACACGGUGCGGACGCCCAGCGCUUUGUGAUACACUUUCAAUGAGUCGAGUUGUUUGGGAAUGCAGCUCAAAUUGGGUGGUAAAUUCCAUCUAAAGCUAAAUAUUGGCGAGAGACCGAUAGCGAACAAGUACCGUGAGGGAAAGAUGAAAAGCACUUUGGAAAGAGAGUUAACAGUACGUGAAAUUGUUGGAAGGGAAACGCUUGAAGUCAGACUUGCUUGCCGGAGCUUGCUUCGGUUUGCAGGCCAGCAUCAGUUUUCCGGGGUGGAUAAUGGUGGUUUGAAGGUAGCAGCCUCGGCUGUGUUAUAGCUUUCCACUGGAUACAUCCUGGGGGACUGAGGAACGCAGCGUGCUUUUUGCGAAGGUUUCGACCUUUUCACGCUUAGGAUGCUGGUGUAAUGACUUUAAACGACCCGUCUUG